GACGAACGCUGGCGGCGUGCCUAACACAUGCAAGUCGAACGAAGCAUAGCAAUAUGCUUAGUGGCGGACGGGUGAGUAACGCGUGAACAAUCUGCCCUGUACAAAGGAAUAGCCUCGGGAAACCGGGAUUAAAACCGUAUGACACUUUAGUAUCGCAUGAUAAGAAAGUCGAAUCGAAUAGAGGUAUGGGAUGAGUUCGCGUCUGAUUAGCUGGUUGGCGGGGUAACGGCCCACCAAGGCGACGAUCAGUAGCCGGCCUGAGAGGGUGAACGGCCACACUGGAACUGAGACACGGUCCAGACUCCUACGGGAGGCAGCAGUGGGGAAUAUUGCACAAUGGAGGGAACUCUGAUGCAGCGACGCCGCGUGAGUGAAGAAGGUCUUCGGAUCGUAAAACUCUGUCCUUGGUGAAGAAAAGGACGGUAGCCAAGGAGGAAGCCCCGGCUAACUACGUG
This 455-nucleotide ribosomal RNA is filed under the name uncultured bacterium. RNAcentral's name for it is "bacterial SSU rRNA". It matches the Rfam family "Bacterial small subunit ribosomal RNA", at positions 28 to 507 of the family's 1533-position model. The record is from RNAcentral.